AGAGGAUACAGACAGCUGAUGCAGGGACACCAAACUUCAGACUUCUGACUGCCAACCAAGCUAUCUGUGAAGGGCAUGUCUACCACAGGGACACCCAGAACCACCUCUGGAUGCUUGGCCAGACUCUCGCUCUUUCUUCCCUGGAUCCCUUCUCUCUAGACAGAUGUGUUCCCAAGAGAUUUCCCCAGCGAGUCCUGUCUGCCUCAUUGACUCUCUUCUUAGCAUCUGGCCUGAGAUGCAAAAGCAGACUCUCAUGGAAAACAUUCUAAGCUGAAGACUGGUCCCCGAGCUUCCCUUGAUGAGAAUUGUUAAGUCAAGGGCUGUACCAUUGAAAAUUAGUACCUUGAGUCCUGGACUGAAAACAUCUAGAUUCAACAGCUGAAGCCCUCUGUGUGAAGAUGAUACGCAGGCUCUUCCACACAGGACAACACACCACCCGAGACCAUGUUCUCAUGAUUUCUUAGCCACCCAUAAUGCAGGCAGAGAAGAGUCUGGUCUGCUAAGGGUAGAAAGAGGCUUCAUUGUGAAGGAUCUGAAGGGCUUGGGCAAUGAAUGAACAGAAAGAACCAUGUGCUGGAUAAAGUUGGUCAAUGU
RNAcentral lists this long non-coding RNA (594 nucleotides) under Mus pahari (shrew mouse). Its description in RNAcentral is "lncRNA (MGP_PahariEiJ_G0004579.1)". Lineage: Eukaryota; Metazoa; Chordata; Mammalia; Rodentia; Muridae. The record is from RNAcentral.